GCAGUGUUCAAAGUAUUUAGCACAUUCUGAACAGAUCUGGAGCGGGUUUCUUCCAGAGAGCUUUGAGAAUCCCCUCCCUCCUCUUCCAAGUCCCCACCUCUCUCCUGAACAGAUUAUUGAGGAGUUAAAGGAGCUUGCAUUGGUCCCUGUGUCGUCUCUAUGAGGCUUAGAGUUCCAGAGGAAACAGAUGGGAUAAGAAAACCAGGGGAUCUAAUUACAGAGGCUUAUUUAGCAAUCCAAGCCUCAAGCCGCUGCUCCUCGCAGUUUCUCUUUCAGAGGUAUUCGUCUCAAAGCCUUGAGACAGCUACGGUUGUUUAACAUGGAGAACGAGGAAGAGGAAGAUGAAAUCUUUACCACAUUUCAGGGAGGAUAUGAAGGGCAGGAAGAUGUGGAGGAGCAGGAGGAAGAAGAACAAAAGGAAGAGGAGCCAGAGGCUGAGAGGAAGAGCAGUUGGGAUGUCCCAAUUCCAAGUCGAUCAUUGGCCAGUCGCAGAGCUUCACUUCCAUGUCCGAGUGAUGCAGACAGUUUGUGUCUGAUCUGCCAUGACGACCUACGCAAAGGAGGAGCAGUUAUCAGAGAGCUUCACUGUUCCCACAGCUUCCACAGUGAGUGCAUAGAGGAAUGGUUGUGGACCAAGCAGACCUGUCCCACGUGUCAAAAGCAUGUUGCCAUGCCAGAGCCCCUGUACUGGACAUCUACCAGAGUAAUAGUGCCCUGAGCUCUUCCAGCCAGCUCCCAUUCAAACUGCCUUGGACAUCAGAUGGCUAACCAAAACAUCAGACAUGAUGGGGGAUAACUGACAAUGGAUAAAGAACCAGCUACAAAAAAGGUGGUCAUAUGACUAAUCAGAUUUUGUUAUUCAGAGAAACAGAUUUGUAGAGCAUUUCUUUGUACAUAGGCUAAAUGAUUUUAACAUCACUAAGUGUAAAGUUUUUAUUCUUAAAAUCAUAUUUACAUAUUAAGAAAAUAUGUUAUUUUCUACUGUGUAUACCUUUUUCUGCAGAAGUUUAAGUUUUAAAAAUGUACCUCACUAUAUUAGUAAUUCAAAGUAGGCCUACUCGCAAUGUUCUGUUUUCAAAACAUGUAACUACUAUCAACAAAAGUGUAGGCCUGCAUUUACCAGGUGUGUAUUUGAGUAAAUGUGCUUUUUUACUAUACUUAAGUACUACUUGGGGAAUUUGUUCAUACAGUAUUUCACUGAUCAUCCUGACAAAGAAUUAUGGUGAUUCAUACCAAACUAACAAGUCAAAAUCACAUUCCUGUGAUGUUUACUAAACUUUAAUUGAAAACAGCCA
Molecule: long non-coding RNA, 1295 nt
Filed under: Sinocyclocheilus anshuiensis
Lineage: Eukaryota; Metazoa; Chordata; Actinopteri; Cypriniformes; Cyprinidae
Description: lncRNA (ENSSANG00000001507.1)
Source: RNAcentral